GAUAGCCUGCUGUGGCGGAGUUGAGGGUGAGUGUCUGGGAGCCGCGUCUUUGGGACCCCGUAAGCAGCCGGCGCUUGGGACGCGACCCUCGGGCGUGAGCCGAGCGACUUCGCCAAGAAGCAGGAAGGACAAAAUGAUGACAGAGAGAAGCCCAUUGAAGGAGCGUUACCAAGAAGUCCUGGACAAGCAGAGGCAGGUGGAAAACCAACUCCAAGCGCAAUUGAAGCAACUUCAGCAAAGGAGAGAAGAAGAAAUGAAGAAUCACCA
Long non-coding RNA from Jaculus jaculus (lesser Egyptian jerboa), 267 nucleotides. RefSeq lists it as uncharacterized. The record is from RefSeq and is a predicted model, not a curated record. The transcript is spliced from 2 exons. Lineage: Eukaryota; Metazoa; Chordata; Mammalia; Rodentia; Dipodidae.